Ctenopharyngodon idella (grass carp) is the source of this 881-nucleotide long non-coding RNA. RefSeq lists it as uncharacterized. NCBI's taxonomy places the organism in Eukaryota, Metazoa, Chordata, Actinopteri, Cypriniformes, Xenocyprididae. The record is from RefSeq and is a predicted model, not a curated record. The transcript has 3 exons.
GCCUAUGGUGUUCGGGUAAAGAGCUGUGAAGUGUCUCAGCCAACUGAUGUAUAUCUAACACUUUACGACAAUCUGAGCAAUUAAGUGUGUUUCAGCUAACUUUGGUCUACCUGAGCUGCCUAGUGUUUUCAGCUAUCAUUUGCAAUCCUGAGACUUGAGUGUAAUCUGAGCAGUUUUCCAGUUAAUUUAAGUUUUAUUUGUUCACAUCAGUUAUUCUAUUUUGUUGCCUUAAUUUUCUUGUUACUCUAAGUCUUUUCUUUGUAGUUUUGUAGGGAGGUGGAUGCCUUUUUUUAUUUAAGAACUACAUUUUCUCCUGUGUUUAUGUAGAAAGGGAGUUGGGGAAUUGUUUGUAUAUAUUUAUUUAAUUUUCUUUUGAUAGGUAAGUUAUCCCUUAACUUUAGUAAGAAUGUCCUUUUGUUUGUUAUUUUGGCCUCUCCCCUCCUGAAGUUUUUUGUUAAUUCCUACCAUUUGUUUAAUAAAUCUUGUUGUUUUUGAAUUUUGUAUUAUUAAGCAUUACUGUAUCUGCCCUGGGACCUGGAGAUGGCAGUUCUCUCCACGCUAUUUUUGUUACAAUCCUCUUCCCACCCCUAGAUUAAAAGGGGGCUCGUAACACCUGGCUCUAGUUCCGCUCCUGGCACAACACCCACGGAGAGUCUACCUGAGGAACACCUAGCAGCCAUCAUUUCUAUGGGCUUCAGUCGAGACCAGGCCACUCGUGCUCUCAGAGCUAUGAGUAUGAGCUUUUUGCGUUCAUCAGUCACAUGGGAUCGAGCACAAUGUGUGGUCAUUAUGUCUGCCACAUCAAGAAGGACCAACAGUGGGUAAUCUUUAACAAUCAGAAAGUUUGUGCCUCUGAGAAACCACCUAAGGACCUGGGCUAC